Molecule: transfer RNA, 67 nt
Filed under: Adelastes hylonomos (Neblina frog)
Lineage: Eukaryota; Metazoa; Chordata; Amphibia; Anura; Microhylidae
Description: tRNA-Gly
Source: RNAcentral
AUUUUCUUAGUAUAAUGUACAAGUGGCUUCCAACCACUUAGUCCUGGAUAAACCCCGGGAGAAAAUA